Phascolarctos cinereus (koala) is the source of this 3289-nucleotide long non-coding RNA. RefSeq lists it as uncharacterized. The record is from RefSeq and is a predicted model, not a curated record. NCBI's taxonomy places the organism in Eukaryota, Metazoa, Chordata, Mammalia, Diprotodontia, Phascolarctidae.
UCCUUGUCUGUAAAAUGGAGAUAAUAACAGUGCUUACCUCUCAGGGUUGCUGUGAUGACCAAAUGAGGUAACACAUGGAAAGCUCUUUGUAAGCCUUAAGGGACCAUAGAAAUGCUGGUUAUUAAUAUUAUUACGGCUAUAAUCAUACUCUCCCAGUUUCUAGUGUUCUCUCUCUCUCCCCAAAUUAUCUUGUAUAUGUGAAAGUAUUUUAGGCGAACUGGGAACUUUCAUUGGCUUGUUGGACCGUUGUCCAAUGGCUCGAGAGUAGAUGUGCUCCUGGGGCACCUCAGUCUGUUCAUCUGGACGUUCUUGCUAUAGAUGAGGCCGGAAGGAAGCAGGACGCUGUGGCUCCUUGGAACGCCAGCCGGCUCACAGGUUUGCCUUGAACGGGCAAACCGAGGACUUGGUCGUCCAAAGGCAGUGUUUCCUGGGCUGUUUGGUUCUGCCAGUGCAGGGCACAGAAUAAGGAUUUGCAGAAACAAAACUACCAUGAAUAUCAUUGCUGCUCGUGCAAUCACCCCCACCUUUGCAGAGAAUGAGAUGGGUGAUAAUCUCUAUGAGACUCCACAUGAAAUCAGCCCGUGGUAUGAUGCUUGGUGACCUCAAUGCAAAGGUGGAGGAGGAAACAAGAAACGCGUAGAAAAACACGGACCAGGAAGGAAGCAGGCAGAUGCUGCCUUCCUGAAAGAAUGAAUGAAAAAGAGAGAGAAAAACAUGGCGUGGAGAGAAAGGAACUCCGGCCUGAUCUCUUUAAGGGAGAUACUGAUGAAACAACAGGGAACCGUUGGAGAAAAGGACGUCGGUGUAGGUUCUAAGGAUUCCACACAAAAGGGGAACCUUCGAGUUACAGAGGAAGCCCAAGCUGCCGCCCGGAGCACAGAGACUUCCUCGGACAAGGAAGGGCUGAGUCUCUGCUCCUGAUGGAAAGGGACGGCAGCCGGGGGCAGUGCCAACUUCGCACGAGCUCGUUGGUACGGUCCUACGGAAUGGGAGCAGGCUCUCCUCAGAGAACUGCGAGAAGUCAUGACUCAGGUGGAAUCGGGGCAGGGCGCCAGCUCAGGCCUCUGACUCCCUGGAGGAGGCUCGGGAUCCUGGAGGUAGAGGCGGGAAGAAGGGCUCAGCGAGCCCAGAGUUCAGGCCCCCUGCGCCUCCACUCCCCGCGCCCCCCGACUUGAUGGAUGAAGGGCUUUGGCUUUCCCCUUUGGAGCCCCAGGGUCCUGCCUGGGCAGCUGGGGUGGGGGGAGGGCUCGGGUCUGCCUGAAGCUGCCUUUUCUUGUCCUCAGAGACCCACGCCCGGCCUCUGGCCCUUCCCUGGUAGACCUGGGCUGCUGGCCCUGCCUAGAUCUGACCCUUCUCUUCACUCCCAGGCAGGCUGUUAGGAGUAGCGUUGAGCCUGGAAGAAAUAAAAAACCUGCAGACGGGCUCCGUGCCCCUUCACUGACCAGCCCCAGCGGGCCGGGCUGCUUGUGGCCUUCCAUCUGCUUUCUAGAGUUUUUCCGUCUCCUCCGGUGCUUCCAGGCUGCUAGCUGUCUCCUCUCCUAGCGUCUGUGCGCCUGCUCUGAAAACCCUGCCUCCCUGCUCUAAUUCCCGGCUCCCAGCUGCUGCGGGCUCGGAAAUCAAUUGAGCAAGUUUGUUAGAACUGUGUGCAGAGUAGGGCCGAGAGGAGUGCCGAGCAAUCCACCAGUGUUUAUUAAGUGCCAACUGCGGUCCUGCCCAGAGCCUUCCUCUGUUUACCUCCUGGCUGCUAGCCACACUCUGGAUAGAUUAGACAGAGGGGAGCUGUGCUGUAGACAGGCCAGGUGUGAUUGUGCUAGCUUACAGUGGUGACCGGAACAUCUGGAGUAUCCAGUGUUCACCACUCCCUGCUGACCAGAGCCAGUAGCCCGAGAAGCACCAGACUGCACCUGGCACUCCCUGACAGGAAGCCAGGGACCUUUGAGAGGCGCUGGCAGGACAGGCCCUUGCUUUCUCCAGCAGUUACGGGAUGCUGGAUGCUGGGGCUGAUGACCGGCCUGGGAGGGGAAGCAGGAGGCUGAAGCCAGAGGCCACUUCUCAGAGAGAUGAUACCAGGCUAGGAGCAGAUGUGUCUGCAGCUCUCUUAAAUGUCGGUUGUCUAAGGGUUAGAUUGGGUUUGAGCUAACUUUUGAUCACGUUGCCAUUUGGGGGGAAGGUGUCCCAUGCUCUCUAUCCAAGGUUUGACCCCCUUUCCUUCUAAGACCAGUUCCACAGUGAAUGCACAUAGUGAAUAGCAAAGAAGCCCAUUCAUCCAAAUCACAGCAAAACAGAAAUCAGAGAAGGUCCAUGAAGGAGACAGUAUACCAGUCAACACAGUGAAGGCCUCUGCCACUGGGAAUGAGAGAACUCAGCUCCACUGAGGGGGAGCAUCCUGGAGGUCCCUAGAGGAGCGAGAUGGGGACAGGGACAUGACGGAGAUUGCUUCCACGUCUUCAGUCUUUUCCUUCAGCAGUGUGAUGGGGGUUGGCCUCUUCCAGAAGCACCCAAAGAGACUCAAUGUUUGAAAGCAUGAAGCUUGACCAGUUCCAAGGGAGCUGGCCUUGAAGGGUCCCAAGGGGGGGUGUUGAUCUUGUAAAGUCCCAAGGGAGCUGGCCUUGAAGGGUCCCAAUGGCCUGUCAGCUGAGAUUGCUCCAUUGACAAUAAUUGCAUGGGGAGGGUAGCUUGACCUGAGCAUGUAUAAAGUCAUCUGCACCCCAAAGCUCUAUAGUUUCUUUCCCCCCUCAGUUGCGAAGAAUUCCCUCCUUCCUUCACUUAUUAGACAGGAUAAAUCAAAGAGCCCCUGCCCUCCAGAAGAUGAUGGCCUAUUGAUUAGGAGGGGGACAGAGUAGCUCUGUAUAUAGACACUGAUAAUAAUACAGGAUGGCACCUAGGAAAGAAUCCAAAUGGUGGAUAAUCUCCCAAGAAAGCUGCCCUGAAUUCUGCAGCAGCAGCAGCAGCAGCAGCAGCAGCAGCAGCAUGAGGCUUCUUCUCACCUGCAUCGCCCCACCCACCAUCCUUGCUGUACUCUACACAGAAUGAGGCAAAGGAGUCAAAGGAUGCUUGGGAGACCCCGGUGAGCAGAUGGCCCUUGGGCAGGAGCCCUGCUGCCCAGCCAACACUGGCCCCCUCCCAUCUGGGGAGACUAUGUCAUGAGCUGUUACUCACAUUCAAUGUCUUGUCUCCCACCUCCACGCCUUUGCCCCUGCUGUCCUGCAUGUGUGAAUGCACUCCUUCCUCAUAGUAUGGCUAGCAAUGUAUGUUUUUGCACAUACCCCCCCCCCAAUAAAAUACAAGG